Molecule: ribosomal RNA, 253 nt
Filed under: uncultured prokaryote
Description: partial 16S ribosomal RNA
Rfam family: Bacterial small subunit ribosomal RNA
Source: RNAcentral
UACAGAGGUGGCAAGCGUUGUUCGGAAUUACUGGGCGUAAAGGGCGCGUAGGCGGCUCGACAAGUCCCGCGUGAAAGCCCCCGGCUCAACUGGGGAACUGCGCGGGAAACUGUCGGACUUGAGUUCGGGAGAGGGAAGCGGAAUUCCGGGUGUAGCGGUGAAAUGCGUAGAUAUUGGGAGGAACACCGGUGGCGAAGGCGGCGCGCUGGACCACUACUGACGCUGAGGAACGAAAGCUAGGGGAGCAAACAGG